Molecule: ribosomal RNA, 403 nt
Filed under: uncultured bacterium
Lineage: Bacteria
Description: partial 16S ribosomal RNA
Rfam family: Bacterial small subunit ribosomal RNA
Source: RNAcentral
GACGAACGCUGGCGGCGUGCCUAAUACAUGCAAGUCGAACGCAGUGGGGACGGGUGAGUAACACGGGGGUAACCUCCCAUCAGAGGGGAUAACACUUGGAAACAGGUGCUAAACGGAUACGGCUGGAUGGACCCGCUGUGCAUUAGCUAGGUGGUGAGGUAACGGCUCACCAAGGCCACGAUGCAUAGCCGGCCCACGGGGGUGUUCGGACAGACUGUGACGGGGAGCGGGACCAGACUCUUACGGACGGCGGGAGUGGUGAAUGUUCGGCGAUGGAAGAAAGUCUGCCCGAACCACACCGGGUGAGUCAAGAAAAUUUUCAGGUCAUAGGACUCUGUUGUUAGAAAAACGGUAUCUAACCAGUAAGCCGCGGCUAACUACGUUCCAGCAGCCGCGGUAAUUC